This 460-nucleotide ribosomal RNA is filed under the name uncultured bacterium. Its description in RNAcentral is "partial 16S ribosomal RNA". It matches the Rfam family "Bacterial small subunit ribosomal RNA", at positions 338 to 795 of the family's 1533-position model. The record is from RNAcentral.
CCUACGGGGGGCUGCAGUGGGGAAUAUUGGUCAAUGGGCGUAAGCCUGAACCAGCCAAGUCGCGUGAGGGAUGAAGGUUCUAUGGAUCGUAAACCUCUUUUAUAGGGGAAUAAAGUGUGGGACGUGUCCUAUUUUGUAUGUACCUUAUGCAUAAGGAUCGGCUAACUACGUGCCAGCAGCCGCGGUAAUACGGAGUAUCCGAGCGUUAUCCGGAUUUAUUGGGUUUAAAGGGUGCGUAGGCGGCCUUUUAAGGCAGCGGUGAAAGUCUGUGGCUCAACCAUAGAAUUGCCGUUGAAACUGGGGGGCUUGAGUAGGUGUGAGGCAGGCGGAAUGCGUGGUGUAGCGGUGAAAUGCUUAGAUAUCACGCAGAACCCCGAUGGCGAAGGCAGCCUGCCAAGCCAUGACUGACGCUGAUGCACGAAAGCGUGGGGAUCAAACAGGAUUAGAUACCCUUGUAGUC